Molecule: ribosomal RNA, 463 nt
Filed under: uncultured bacterium
Lineage: Bacteria
Description: partial 16S ribosomal RNA
Rfam family: Bacterial small subunit ribosomal RNA
Source: RNAcentral
GAUGAACGCUGACAGAAUGCUUAACACAUGCAAGUCGAUGGGGAAGUGGUGCUUGCACCCUGGCAACCAUGGCGGACGGGUGAGUAACGCGUAAGGGACUUACCUGCAGGACUGGGAUAACAGGGGGAAACUCCUGACAAGACCGGAUAAUGUCAUGGAGCUGCAUGGCUUUAUGAUGAAAGGAGACGCCUGCGGAGAGCCUUGCGUCCUAUUAGCUAGUUGGUGAGGUAAUGGCUCACCAAGGCGAAGAUAGGUAGCCGGCCUGAGAGGGUGGACGGCCACAAGGGGACUGAGAUACGGCCCUUACUCCUACGGGAGGCAGCAGUGGGGAAUAUUGGACAAUGGGGGCAACCCUGAUCCAGCAAUUCUGUGUGCACGAAGAAGGUUUUCGGAUUGUAAAGUGCUUUCAGCAGGGAAGAAGUAGGUGACGGUACCUGCAGAAGAAGCGACGGCUAAAUACGUG